Molecule: long non-coding RNA, 991 nt
Filed under: Ananas comosus (pineapple)
Lineage: Eukaryota; Viridiplantae; Streptophyta; Magnoliopsida; Poales; Bromeliaceae
Description: long non-coding RNA (ACOM_LNC023356)
Source: RNAcentral
UUCUUUGAUUUUGGUUGGGGUUUUAAGAGAUUAAACCUUCUUUUUUUGCUCCUUUUGCUUGUUGGAAGCUUUUCCACCAUUGGAGCUUGAUUUUGGAGCUUGGUAGAGGGAAGAUCUUGGGACUUGGAUAGUUUAGAGCUUGGAUUGAAGCUUCUAAGAGGUAAGCAACAUGUUCUCUCCCUCUAGAUUCAAGUUUUAUUGAAGAUUUUGAGAUGAAACCCUAGAAUGAGGUUUUAGAGUUAAUAUUGGGCAUUUUGAAUCUAGGACUUUUGAAGCUAGAUUGAGUGGAUUAGAGGCUUCCAUUAGGUUGGAUUGGAUGAGCCCUAGCUUCAUUUUGGAGCUUUAGAGGAGAUUUUGCACUAGAGGUGAGUUUUCCUCACCUAUGAUUGAUUAGCUUAAUGAUUGAGCUAUUGAUGGUUCGUUUCGUUCGUGUGACGCAUGUUUCUCUACCUCUAAGCUACUAGGAGACUAGAGGACACCCUCGUUGGAGCGCACGAGGAGUUUCGUUGCCAUCGGUGGAUUUGGCUUUGGAAAAAUGGGGCGAAAUGACCCCUAUGCUCUUUCUACUUAUUGUAAAAUAUUUUUAAGUUCAUUUCUAUGCUAAAUGGGAUUUAUAUGAAUUUUAGAGCACUUAAAAUGCAUGCCUCGUGUAUUAUGAAAAUUUCACUAUAUAGUAGAGCUAUAUGAGUAGAAUGCAUGCAUAUGGGAAAAGCGUUUAUUUUACAAGUGGAAAAUACAUCUCUUAUGAGGAUUAUGACUUGGAAUAUGUGCUUUGGAACAUAGUUGCCAUGUUUUGACAUAGAAAACAAGAGUGUCAUAAAGGGGCACUCGAAACUAGUGAACUAUGGAACUGCAACAUAGAGAUAUAUUGAUAGGCCUUUGUACAUCUGCUAUAUAUAUUCCAUGUUAGAGACAUGAUGACAUAGAGAUAGGCCUUUGGGACACUCGAUACAUUCCAUGUUAUUAGACAUGAGGACUUGGUACUUGCGAA